Molecule: long non-coding RNA, 400 nt
Organism: Daphnia pulex (common water flea)
Lineage: Eukaryota; Metazoa; Arthropoda; Branchiopoda; Diplostraca; Daphniidae
Exons: 3
Source: RefSeq, a predicted model, not a curated record
UCUAGGUUGAUGCCUUGAUGGUGGUUGAUCAUUCGGUACGUCUUCCUUUGUGAAUUUCUUCAUAAUUUAUGGCACGCCGAAAGAGUCCAAAACAAAAUGUUUAAAUUAAAAAAAAAAAAGUUUCGCCACGCUAUCUAGCGGUCAAAUAUAGAACUGCAUGCCAAAUUCCCUUCCCCACGUGAGAAGUUGUAAAAUCACUUCAUCUUGAGUCAACAAUCAACGUUAAGCUAGCUUCGAAAAUUACCAAUGAUUCGUAGUCAGAGUAAACGUGAAAGUCGUGCACCUACCGUCAACUAUUUUGUUCAAACUCAGUGUAUUCUACUGAAUGUGAUCGAAAUGAUACAGGAUUAAUCUUCAUUAUCGGCUGUUUCUAUUGAACUUGCUAGAUCACCGACCCCAG